Molecule: long non-coding RNA, 326 nt
Filed under: Spirodela polyrhiza (greater duckweed)
Lineage: Eukaryota; Viridiplantae; Streptophyta; Magnoliopsida; Alismatales; Araceae
Description: long non-coding RNA (SPOL_LNC001830)
Source: RNAcentral
CACCUUCUCCAUGAGCAUGCUGGAGAUCUACAUGGGGUCUCUGAGGGACCUGCUGGCCCCCAGGGCGUCCUCCGCCAAGAGGUAGAAGACGAAGGCCGCCUCAGAUCUGGAAACCCACCUCUGGAUUUCACAUGACGAACUCGAAAUAAACAGUCUUUCUUCUCCAAAAUCGUCUGAGCAGUCUCAACAUCCAGACCGGAGGAGGCGGGUGCGUGGAGGUCGAGGGCCUUACCGAGGUGCGGGUCGUUGACUUCAAGCAGGCGAGCCACUGGUACGCGAAGGGGAAGAGGGCGAGGACGACUUCCUGGACCAGCGUCAACGAGGCC